UACGUAGGCAGCGAGCGUUGUUCGGAGUUACUGGGCGGAAAGGGGGUGUAGGCGGUCCCUUAAGUUUGGUGUGAAAUCUCCCGGCUCAACUGGGAGGGUGCGCCGGAUACUGAGGGGCUAGAGUGCGGGAAGGGAAAGUGGAAUUCCUGGUGUAGCGGUGAAAUGCGUAGAUAUCAGGAGGAACACCGGUGGUGCAAACGGCUUUCUGGACCGUAACUGACGCUGAGACACGAAAGCGUGGGGAGCAAACAGG
RNAcentral lists this ribosomal RNA (253 nucleotides) under uncultured bacterium. RNAcentral's name for it is "partial 16S ribosomal RNA". It matches the Rfam family "Bacterial small subunit ribosomal RNA", at positions 524 to 776 of the family's 1533-position model. The record is from RNAcentral.